Molecule: ribosomal RNA, 866 nt
Filed under: uncultured bacterium
Lineage: Bacteria
Description: bacterial SSU rRNA
Rfam family: Bacterial small subunit ribosomal RNA
Source: RNAcentral
AGCGAACGCUGGCGGCGUGCUUAACACAUGCAAGUCGAGUGCGCGUCCGUAGCAAUACGGAUGGCGCACGGCGCACGGGUGAGUAACACGUGGGCAAUCUGCCCUCGGAUGGGGGAUAACUCGUCGAAAGGCGAGCUAAUACCGCAUGACAUUCCGAAGACUCCGGUCUUUGGAUUCAAAGGCCGCAAGGCCGUCUGAGGAGGAGCCCGCGCCCGAUUAGCUAGUUGGUGAGGUAACGGCUCACCAAGGCUUUGAUCGGUAGCCGGUCUGAGAGGAUGGCCGGCCACACUGGAACUGAGACACGGUCCAGACUCCUACGGGAGGCAGCAGUGGGGAAUAUUGCGCAAUGGGCGAAAGCCUGACGCAGCGACGCCGCGUGGGGGAUGAAGCUUCUCGGAGUGUAAACCCCUUUCGACCCGGACGAAUGACCCGCAAGGGUUUGACGGUACGGGUAUAAGAAGCCCCGGCUAACUACGUGCCAGCAGCCGCGGUAAUACGUAGGGGGCCAGCGUUGCUCGGAAUUACUGGGCGUAAAGGGUUCGUAGGUGGUGCGGUAAGUUGGAAGUGAAAUCUCUGGGCUUAACCCAGAGGCUGCUUUCAAAACUGUCGCGCUCGAGUGCGAGAGAGGUCAGUGGAAUUGCAGGUGUAGCGGUGAAAUGCGUAGAUAUCUGCAGGAACACCCGUGGCGAAGGCGGCUGACUGGAUCGCAACUGACACUGAGGAACGAAAGCUAGGGGAGCAAACAGGAUUAGAUACCCUGGUAGUCCUAGCCCUAAACCAUCGGAACUUGGGGUGGCCCGCGUAGGCGGGUCGUCCCGUAGCUAACGCGUUAAGUUCCGCGCCUGGGGAGUACGGUCGCAAGACUG